UGUUAAAACUUUUAUUUAUUUCUACUAUUAAAAAUUACCGUGGUUGCUAAAAUAACCAGAAAAUUACACGUGACAUUCCACGUGUAUCUCAUUCUGACGUAUAAUGAUUAAUUUUUAAAUGUAGAAAUGAAAGGACAAGUUUACUC
This 146-nucleotide microRNA precursor is filed under the name Gossypium arboreum. RNAcentral's name for it is "MIR7502 microRNA precursor family". It matches the Rfam family "MIR7502 microRNA precursor family". The record is from Rfam by way of RNAcentral. Lineage: Eukaryota; Viridiplantae; Streptophyta; Magnoliopsida; Malvales; Malvaceae.